RNAcentral lists this long non-coding RNA (3971 nucleotides) under Homo sapiens (human). Its description in RNAcentral is "non-protein coding lnc-UROD-1:3". The record is from RNAcentral. Lineage: Eukaryota; Metazoa; Chordata; Mammalia; Primates; Hominidae.
AACACAUUACCAACGCCUUUUGAGUAUUCCUCCCAGUGCAGGGUGCCGGGAACCCAGACGGAACAACUCAGCCUCUUUCCUCAGGGAGUAAGUCUAAGACCUGGCUUCGAGUACAUUCGGUGAAAGAAAGCUCAUUGGGAGCCGCAAUUUUGGCUAGCUAGUGAAAAAAAUCACCGAAUGCCCCUGCAGGGGUUGCCAGGACUUCCUAUUUGUUUUUGUUGUUGUUGUUGUUGUUGUUUGUUUUUUGUUUUUUUUGAGACGGAGUCUCGCUCUGCGUCGCCCAGGCUGGAGUGCAGUGGCGCGAUCUCGGCUCACUGCAAGCUCGGCCUCCCGGGUUCACGCCAUUUUCCUCCCUCAGCCUCCCGAGGAGCUGGGACUACAGGCGCCUGCCACCAUGCCCGGCUAAUUUUUUUGUAUUUUUAGUAGAGACGGGGGUUUCACUGUGUUAGCCAGGAUGGUCUCGAUCUCCUGACCUCGUGAUCCGCCCGCCUCGGCCUCCCAAAGUGCUGGGAUUACAGGCGUGAGCCACCGCGCCCGGCCCGGGACUUCCUAUUUGUAACAGGGCCACUCACGUUAACUUUAGCCAUCAAAACUGGGGGCGGCUGGGCAUGGUGGCUCAUGCCUGUAAUCUCCGCAAUUUGGGAAGCCGAGGUGGGAGGAUUGCUUGAAACCGGGCGUUCAAGACCAGCCUGUGCGAGAGAGCCUCCAGUCUCUACAAAAGUAAAAAUUAGCUGGGCAUGGUAGUGUGUGCCUGUAGUCCCAGCUGCUCAGGAGGCUGAAACGGGAGGAUCGCUUGAGCCCAGGAGUUCGAGGCUGCAGUGAGCUAUGAUCGGGCCACUGCACUCCUCCUGCCUAGACGACAGAGUGAGACCCUGUUUUUUUUUUUUAAUUUAGUUUUUAUUUCAUAAUCAUAAACUUAACUCAGCAAUCCAGUUAGGCAUGGAAAGGAACAAGGAAAACAUGGAACCCAAAGGGAACUGCAGCAAGAGCACAAAGAUAAGAUACUGCGAGCAGGCCGGGCGUGGUGGCUCACGUCUGUAAUCCUAGCACUUUGGGAGGCCGAGGCAGGCAGAUUGCCUGAGCUCAGGAGUUCAAGAUCAGCCUGGGCAACAUGGUGAAACCCCGUCUCUACUAAAAUACAAAAAAAAAAAAAAAAAGAAAGAAAGAAAGAAAGAAAAAAUUAGCCAGGCAUGGCGGCGUGCGCCUGUAGUCCCAGCUACUCGGGAGGCUGAGGAAAGAGAAUUGCUUGAACCCGGGAAGUGGAGGUUGCAGUGAGCCGAGAUCGUGCCACUGCACUUCAGCCUGGGAGAGGGCGACAGGGUGAGACAGCGUCUCAAAAAAAAAAAAAAAAAAAAAUACUGCAAGCAAAUGGGGUGAAGGGGUGCUCUUCUGAGCUACAAAAGGAAUGGUCUGGUGGUUAAGAUAAAACAAAAGCCAAACUUGUUAGAGUUGUCCACAGUCAGCAAUGGUGAUCUUCUUGCUGGUCUUGCCAUUCUCGGACCCAAAGUGCCCCAUGGCCUCCACAAUAUUCAUGCCUUCUUUCACCUUGCCAAAGACCACAGGAUUGCCAUCCAGCCACUCAGUCUUGGCAGUGCAGAUGAAACACUGGGAACCAUUUGUGUUGGGUCCAGCAUUUGCCAUGGACAAGAUGCCAGGAUGUGUAUGCUUUAGGACGAAGCUCUCGUCAUCAAAUUUCUCCCCGCAGGUGUACUUGCCACCAGUGCCAUUAUGGCAUGUGAAGUCACCACCCUGACACAUAAACCCUGGAAUAAUUCUGUGAAAGCAGGAACCUUUAUAACCAAAUCCUUUCUCUACAUUGCUCAGAGCACGAAAGUUUUCUGCUGCCUUUGGAACCUUGUCUGCAAACGGCUCGAAGGACACGCGGCCCAAGGGCUUGCCGUCGACAGCGAUGUCGAACACGGUGGGGUUAACCAUGGCUGAUCGUACAGAGCUCCUGGCGUCGGUGGCUGCAUUUGCAAAGCCGAGACCCUGCUUUUAACAAAACAAUAAUAGGCCAGGUGCGGUGGCUCACGCUUGUAAUCCCAGAAGUUUAGGAAGUGAGGCGGAUGGAUCCCUUGGGCCCAGGAGUUCGAGACUAGCCUGGGCAACGUAGUGAAACACCCUCUCUACUAAAAAUACAAAAAUUAGUCAGGUGUGGUGCCGCGCUGUGGGGUUCCAGCUACUUGGAAGGCUGAGGCAGGAGGAUCGCUGGAGCCCAAGAGGCAGAGGUGGCAGUGAGCCAAUAUGGUAUCACUGCACUUCAGCCUGGGUAACAAAGAGACAGGAUCUCUAAGUAAAUAAAAUAAAUAUUAAAAAAUGACGAAUAGAUAAUAAAAUAAUUGUUGUUCUAAGCUCUACGGUUUGGAGUGGUUUAUCAAGUUGCACUAGAUAACAGGACCAAUGGCCAUUCUCUUUUUCCCAUGCAUUCCUGCAAUUUCCUAAUCUUUUGAAAGCUUCCUUUUUUUUCGAUUAAUUAAUUUUUUUUUUUUUUUGAGACAGUCUCACUCUGUCACCAGGCUGGAGUUCAGUGGCACAAUCUUGGCUCACUGCAACCUCUGCCUCCUGGGUUCAAGUGAUUCCUGCGUCAGCCUCCCGAGUAGCUGGGACUACAGGCAUGCGCCACCACGCCUGGCUAAUUUUUGUAUUUUUAGUAGACAAGGGGUUUCAUCAGAUAGGCCAGGAUGGUCUUGAACUCCUGACCUCGUGAUCUGUUCGCCUCGACCUCCCAAAGUGCUGGGACACAGCCGUGAGCCACCGUGCCCAGCCUGAUUCAUCUCUUAAAUCUUGAGUUGCUUUAGCUUCCUGCCAGUUAAAAGGUAGAGCAUGAUUUCUGUAAUAAAAAUAAAGGAGCUUGACUUCAUUCAACAAUAUUUAUUCAUUUAUUUUUAGAAAUGAGGUCAGCUUAUGCUGCCCAGGCUGGACUCAAACUCCUGGGCUCAACGAUCGUCUUGCCUCAGCUUCCCAAGUAGCUAGGACUACAGGUAUGUGCCAUGGAGGACUGGCUUCAACAAUAUCUUGAGUGCCUAAUAUGUGCCAAGCAGUGUCUUAGAUGCUUGGUGUUGCAGAUACAGCAGUUAAUGAUUAGGACUUGUCAUUUUUUCCAGAAGGAGGUCUGCUUAGACCCUGAAAAAAAAAGGGGGGGACUCAUAUCCUAAAACCAGCCUAUCUUUGCCUUGCCAUGAACUGACUGAUCUGGCCACAGGAGGCCUGAAGUCUGACUACCCCUCUAUAGAAACACAGAGAUAUUCUCUCUUUGGUAUUACCUCAACCAAGACUUGGAAAUUACAGCAUGGGUUUGAGUGCCUUCUUCCACUCCUCCUCCACUGUGCUGAAGAGAUAUUGAGUUCUUCCAGAUUUUUGCUUAGCUGGGUGGUUUCCAAACUCAAUGGACUCUCUAGGUAGGUAAUUCCUGCACAGGGCUUUCCUGUCACUGGAUUUAUGAUUUUUCCAACUUUGAAAACAAUCUCGGCCAGUUCAUGUUUCACAUGCUUUGUUCGCGGAACAGGUAAAGCUCUGAGAAGCACAGUAUCACCAACUGUGCACUGCUGAAGGGCAUCGUGAGCAAAGUAGGUUUUCCGCUUAUUGUAAUACUUUAAUAAAUAGGGAUCCAGAACAAGCCUGGUCACUCUCACUUUAGCAGUCUUUUGCAUUUUUGUCCCAAUCACCUUCCCCACGAUCCACUUGGCAUGGGUGGAUGAAUGAACUACGGACAUUAUGUGGCUUUGGUCACCUCCGCCACGACUGUGCAGCCACCUCCAGUUGUUCUUUCGAUUCAAUAUAGUGCUCCAUGAAAAAGCAGUAGUUCAACUCGCAGCUCAAACUAUCACAAAACUGUUUCUCUUGGAGACAACCAUCAUACUUCUUUUGUAUGCACAGAAGGGUUAAAUGUGUACUUCCCAUCUCAUCAUACAGAAUAUUAAAAAGACACAUACUCAGUAAACUAGUAUAUUUGGUAGCAAAAAAAAAAAAAA